This 1141-nucleotide long non-coding RNA is filed under the name Ursus americanus (American black bear). Its description in RNAcentral is "lncRNA (ENSUAMG00000019004.1)". The record is from RNAcentral. Lineage: Eukaryota; Metazoa; Chordata; Mammalia; Carnivora; Ursidae.
GCUCCCUGAGGUCUGCUCUGAAGGUCAGGGCCGCAGACCGUUCUAGAUCUUAAAGCAUGUUAGACACAGUUUCACUUCGAGGCAGAGUGACUUACAAGAGGCGGCCUGGGAAAGAUUAAAAGAUUACACUUGUAGUCCCUUGCUUUCGUGAGAAAAGUGCCAGCUUCUUCUUGGUCUGUGGACUCAGACAGAAAACCCACUUGGCCUUCACGGGCUAUUAAGCAGAGGUGGAGGGGAGGGGCAGGGAGAGCUAGGGCGUCCUGGACUCCCCUAACGAGUCACCCAGGGUACUUUUCCCAGAAGUCUAGAUGGAUGCCAGUAGCCCCCUGUCCAGACAGGGAGGUGAUAACAGCUCGCUUUGUGUGGGGAGUGGAAAACAAAGGCUCGCUAGGAUUCGCGGGAGCCUGCGCUGCCCUGGGGCUCCUGGGACCAGCUGGCACCUGGACGGCGGCUGUGAAAAAACACUGGAGGCAGGACUCAGCUGAGCUGCAACCUCGUGAGCUCAAGCGGGGGUCACCCCUGGCUGAGGUUACGGCAGAGGGAAUGGGGUCAUCCUCCCUGGGAGAACCUGAGCGGCGGCGCGGGGACGCGGACAAAAGCCGCUUUGUGGAGGCUGAGAGUCCCUCGACGGCGCCACCGUGUGGCAGCGCCGGGCAGCGGCAGCGGCGGCCGCGGCGGAUCCCAGGGCUGUCCCGCGCCCACCCGGACCUUCUCCGGACCGGCUGGGACAGGGUGGUAUUGCAUUUCAGAAUCCACACCCGUAACGAACGCAUCCUCAGGAAGAUGAGAGGUCUGCUGCUUUCCCACGUCCACCUGCUCCCACAGGCCGCUUCAGCCAGGCACUGAGAUUUCAUGGCACACAAGCCACGUUGACUGUCAAGGCUCCAAAGGGCUGCCAUGCAUUCGCUUUUGCUCCUUCCUUCACCCAUCCCCGCAGUGAAUGUGUCCCAGGCCCUCUGCCCCCAAGGACCCGGGGCCUAGCAGGAGAAACCAAGGGCGGAAGGUGGUAGGACUGAUCACUGGACAGACAAGGUGCGAACAGCCACGUGAAGGAUGGGAAGAGGCAGCUGUGAUUUCUCAGCGUCAAGCCCUUGGACUUGCCGGGCACCCGAUGGAGAUGAGAAGGGUAAGACCUCCAGAG